UAGUCCACGCCGUAAACGAUGCAUACUAGGUAUCAGCGCCUCUGACGGGGUUGGUGCCGGAACAAGAGCGAUAAGUAUGCCGCCUGGGGAGUACGGCCGCAAGGCUAAAACUCAAAGGAAUUGACGGGGGCUCACACAAGCGGUGGAGCAUGUGGAUUAAUUCGAAGCAACGCGAAGAACCCUACCUGGGUUUGAAAUGCUAGGAUGCACCCGUGAAAGCGGGCUAUGCUGCCUUUGGUGAAACUAGCACAGGUGCUGCAUGGCUGUCGUCAGCUCGUGCUGUGAAGUGUCGGGUUAAGUCCCUUAACGAGCGAAACCCCUAUCGUUAGUUGCCAGCGGUUCGGCCGGGGACUCUAGCGAGACUGCCGGCGUCAAGCCGGAGGAAGGUGGGGGACGACGUCAAGUCAUCAUGGGCCUCUAUGCCCAGGGGUGUCACACGUGCUACAAUGGGCGCGGACAGAGCGACGCAAGACCGCGAGGGUGGGAGC
Molecule: ribosomal RNA, 488 nt
Filed under: uncultured bacterium
Lineage: Bacteria
Description: bacterial SSU rRNA
Rfam family: Bacterial small subunit ribosomal RNA
Source: RNAcentral